UCAUCACCAUCACUUCUCCCCUAGAGGUGUCAUCGCCAUCCCAAACUCUGAAAAACAACUCUGACUUCGCCAAAGGCGAUCAUCAAACCAACCCACCCUGAAUAGGCCGUGCGGAAUCACAUGAAGAUCCACAUCGGACCUCAGCCACUACAACAAGAAAGCACAGCUCUAACACCAACAGAGAGCUACGAAUGAACCAAGCAGCUGUGAAGUCGAAGCUACAGUGGCAGGGCCCGGUGGCAUAUGCUGACGAGUAGGUGGUCCGUUCGGUGAUCUUCCUCAACACGUAGUAUGACUUCAGUGCACACGACACAGUAUAUGCCCCCAUGGAGACCGACAACAGAACAACAGUUCCACAAGCAUGAGCACACUUGAAUUCAGGUGAGAGUGUGACCACUCCCAUUCCUGUCACGUAGAAAGAAGAAAACUCCCGUUUCGUACAGAAAUUCCAUGAGAAGCAAAAUGGCGUCACGUCGUAUUAUUUGUAUUCUUCGUUCUACGAAUCAGCAAAACCAGAUCACGACUCGGACACGAUUCACAUGGAGCACCUAUCUCACGCUUUUUCGACGCUGUAGCCAGGCUGCCUCUCUUCCUCAUCACUUAUUUAAGACGCCUGUCUGGGUUAAAAAAUCGUGACCGAACAAUGACCGGCGGUAUGUAAGGCCUUCCACAGCGUAGCCGGUGCCAAAUACAUCAAAAGGCAGCCACCUCAUCACCGGUGCCCAAAAUUGCUUUUCAGGCAUCGAUCUCACAACGUAGGGCUUCGGCAGGAAAAAGAUUUUGGGACCCAUAUGAUAAACAAGUACACCACGCUGCUGUGUAUUGAGCAAAGAGAGAGAAGACAUUCGCUGUUCAAAGUUGAGAGUUAAUAGUAUUUUAUUGGCUGGAGGAAUUGGGCAUCGUGUUCUUACUUGCUCCGAUGCCAUGAAAAUUUUGUUGGGGCACCGGCCUCACAACGUGAGGGCACCGGCUAUCGGAGCCAGAAGUUAAUUUGGCACCUCUUUUGGCCUACAUAAUGGAAGGUCUAAGAGGUGGGUUUGAGAGAUCGGUUGUAGAUGCUCUUAAUAAGCUAGUACUAGAAGAAGAACAUGUAUAGGGGAGGAAGGGGACAUAAGUGAAUCCCGAACGAAAGCACGUACCUGCGGGUGAUGGCCGAGUCAAGAAACACGGUCGACGUUCGUGAUCGAGUUGGCGCCGUGCCGGAGCUAAUUCAAGGGAAUGCCGCCGCCUUCCAACCGGAGACGAGACUGUAUUAUGUGGCUGACAACCUGCGCAGCUUUCAAACAUGGUGGCUCCUUUUGGAAAAGGCUCGGAGUGGAGACCCCAACCGUGUCACUCGUGUCAUACAUAUGCACCUUACAAAGGGCUGCGAGCUUUACUACACAGAUGUGUUGGGUGUUCAUUUGGUUUUAACAAAUUUGAGACCUUAUCUUUUUUUUGUUGGGUUUGCAGCUUUUAUGUCAUUUUAAAUACAUAUGUGUAUGCUGUCAAUACACUAUAGAUUAACAUACACUAGUGUCAAAAACGCUUUUAUAUUAUAAAACGGAGGGAGUAGUCUGAUUUUCUCAACACGUAAGGGCUUCUUUGAUUCAAAGGAAUUGCAUAGGAUUUUUGGAGGAUUUGAAUCCUUAGGAAUUUUUCCUGUGAUGCUCGUUUGAUUCGUAGGAUUGGCAUCCUUAGGAAUUUUUCCAUAGGAUCCAUUUGUACUACAUUUUGGAGGAAAAUUUGCAUCCACUGAAACCUCUUUGUAGGAUUCCUUUGUUUUUCCUGCGCUAUCAAACAUUCUUUGAGAUCCUGUAGGAUACUAUGGGACAUGUCAUCCUAUUCCUGCAUUUUUCCUAUUCCUUCAUUUUGACAAUCCUGCGAAUCAAAGAGGCCCUAAAUUUUUUUUUAAACGGAGGCAAAAGAUUUGGCUCAUUCAUUAAUUAAGCAGAAAAGAACUGCCCAGUUAAUUAAUGAAAAACCAGGCGAAAAUCAUCACAAACUACUGAGUGACACCAAUGAAAGACCUACACGCGCCACUCACAAGAGGGCCUCGUCAAGACUGCACGUCGACAUCAUCGCCAUCACUUCUCCCCUAGAGGCAUCAUUGCCAUCCCAAACUAUGAGAAACGACUCCAACUUCACCUCAAGAGGGCCUCGUCAAGACCGCACCUCGAGCGUCAUCACCAUCAUUUCUCCCCUAGAGGUGUCAUCGCCAUCCCAAACUCUGAAAAACAACUCUGACUUCGCCAAAGGCGAUCAUCAAACCAACCCACCCUGAAUAGGCCGUGCGGAAUCACAUGAAGAUCCACAUCGGACCUCAGCCACUACAACAAGAAAGCACAGCUCUAACACCAACAGAGAGCUACGAAUGAACCAAGCAGCUGUGAAGUCGAAGCUACAGUGGCAGGGCCCGGUGGCAUAUGCUGACGAGUAGGUGGUCCGUUCGGUGAUCUUCCUCAACACGUAGUAUGACUUCAGUGCACACGACACAGUAUAUGCCCCCCUGGAGACCGACAACAGAACAACAGUUCCACAAGCAUGAGCACACUUGAAUUCAGGUGAGAGUGUGACCACUCCCAUUCCUGUCACGUAGAAAGAAGAAAACUCCCGUUUCGUACAGAAAUUCCAUGAGAAGCAAAAUGGCGCCACGUCGUAUUAUUUGUAUUCUUUGUUCUACGAAUCAGCAAAACCAGAUCACGACUCGGACACGAUUCACAUGGAGCACCUAUCUCACGCUUUUUCGACGCGGUAGCCAGGCUGCCUCUCUUCCUCAUCACUUAUUUAAGACGCC
This 2776-nucleotide long non-coding RNA is filed under the name Triticum aestivum (bread wheat). RNAcentral describes it as "long non-coding RNA (TAES_LNC007651)". The record is from RNAcentral. Lineage: Eukaryota; Viridiplantae; Streptophyta; Magnoliopsida; Poales; Poaceae.